Xenopus tropicalis (tropical clawed frog) is the source of this 3233-nucleotide long non-coding RNA. RefSeq lists it as uncharacterized. The record is from RefSeq and is a predicted model, not a curated record. The transcript has 4 exons. Lineage: Eukaryota; Metazoa; Chordata; Amphibia; Anura; Pipidae.
CGUUUUUUUCGCCAUCAUGUGCAGUGUCCAAGUAGCACAGGCGUCGUGACAGGCGAGGAUCUGCCUUAGCUAACUCUAGCUCCAUCAGAAGGUCACUAAGCUCUUGCAGCUUACGAUUGUCUUUGUUAAUUACUUUUGGGAAAUUUUGCAGUCUCUUAAACAAGGCGCUUUCUAUGGCUUCAGAGAUCCCAUAGGUUUGCUCAAGCCUUCCCCAGGCCGCAGUAAGGCCUGCAUCUGGGUAGUCAACAUGUACAGCUCUCUUUACUCGAUCGGCAGACUCUGGACCAAGCCACUUAAUAAGUAAAUCAAGUUCCUCUUUGGCUGUGAGGUUGAGGUCGGCAAUUGCAGCUUUAAAGGUUGAUCUCCAGGCUCUGUAAAUCCCUGGACAAUCAUCAAACCUUGAGAGACUGAUGUUUAUGAGCUCACAACGUAUCAUAUACCUGGCGAAGUCAGAUAGGUCUGAUCUCUCACUCUUUGGUGCCUGAGUAACUUGUGGAACCCUGGGGUUGUAUAAGCUUUCUGGCAUAUAAAGGUGAGCUGAACCAGGAUAGAAUGAAGUGGCAUGAGCAUUCAGCAGUGGUUUAGUCUCUAAGGCCUUUGCUGGCUGUAGCUUACUGCUGCAGUCCACCUGAUUGAUGGUAGGAGGCAGUAUUUUGUGCUGUGUAACCAUGUCUGUGUAGCUGACCUGUUGCUGUGCCUGCAUUUGCAGCUCUGCAGGUUGGGCACUGUAAGGAACAGCAGUGUUAAAGGUGAUAGGUAUAAGAGACUGACCUGCACUGUGGGUUGUAGGUGUUGUCCCUGGAUGUUGUAAGAUUGGUUCUUUGACAUUAGAUGCAUCCUGGUUUAGUACAUAUUUACUUGUACGUUCUACAGGAUCUUCAGACUAAACUGGAAUAAGGCAGUCCUGAUCAUGCACUCCUCCUAGUGCUUGUUCAAGAACUUUUUGAUUUGCAAUAGCUGAAGCCUUUUCUUUUUCCAUUUGAAGAAUUUCUAAUUCAACUUCCAUUUCUGCCUUUUUGCGGGCAGCUUCUGCUUGCUGGCGUGCCGCCUCAGUUUCAGCUUCAGCUUCCUUGCCUCUCUUUUAGCAAAGGUAACUUGCACCUUGGCUGCUUCUGCAUUAGCAGGGGCCUCUAUAAGCUUGUCACUCAGUGUUGAUUUCCUAGAGUGAGAGGUUUUAGAAGAUUGUGAUGUAAGCCUUGAUGAUGUGUAUCUGUGAGACCUGGUCUCUUGCAGGUGUGCAAUCCUGAGCUCUGCCUUCUCUUAAGCACUUAGCACCAGAAGGUCUCUCUCCUGAUCUAAGGCCUCAGUUUUACUUAGCUCUGCUAAGGAUUCCACUAUUUUAGCGUCCCUUAAGAAAGAAGUAUACUUAGCGGACAGACGCUGAUAACGCUCAUAGGUGGAAGAUAAGCGAUUUAUACCAUCUCUUAAAUCAGCUGCAUCAUUAUUAGAAUGUGAAAGAACUGACAUGCAGUGCACAGUUCUAUUCCAUAGGUCUGAUAAACUGCUUGACAACUCAUCCCUUGUAGCCUCAUAGUUUUCUCUAGACUUUUGAGAUGGUUUUUUUUUUUUGUAUUUCACCAAAAUCUUUAUUGCAAUAAUAAGUCCAAAGUUACACAUACAUUUAUGUAAGUAUUCAUUUAACAAUCUUAAUACCUUCUUAAGUAUUGUUAAGGCACUUAAAGGGAAAAAAAAGGAGAAAAGAGAUGAGCAAAGGGAGAGAGCAGGAAGAACAAGGAGCUGAAUACGUAUAACUUAAAAACCUUUGGAGGGACUCCGGACUGUCUGUGAAGACCGAAACAAAAAGGGAGUCAUAGGGAGAAGAGAAGAAAGAUAGAAGAAGUCAGAAUUGAAGUCGUUUGGCACAUAUUUGGUGAGUAUUAGGUAUCUCGUUGUGGCGUUCAUAUGCAAUAUUCUAUAUCAUUUUACAGCUUUUUAUGAGAAUGCAGAUAGGAUAUCCAAGGUCUCCAGGUUAAUAAAUACUCCUGUUGUUUUUCAUGUAUUGAAGAGGUACUCUCUUCCAUUGUGCAGAUAUCAUUUAUAUUCGUGAACCAAUCCUCUAUUGUUGGUGGAUUUACAUCCCUCCAAUGUUUAGGAAUUAGAGUCUUUGCUGCAAGUAGCAGCUGUAGGAGGAGGCUGUGCUUAAAUAUAUGCUCUGGUAAAUCUGUGUGGUAUAGAAGUACUAAUUGAGGAGUAAGUAUCACCUGGGUACCUAGGAUCUCCUGGAUAAUCAUUUGCACAUUGUUCCAAAAGUGGGAUAGUACUGGGCAUGAAAUCCAAAUGUGAGGGAUUGUACCCUGGGCAGAGUUACAUCUCCAGCAUCUGUCAUGUGGUAAUAGACCCAUUUGGUGCAGUUGCGACGGGGUUCUAUACCAUUUUGAGAGUAUCUUAUAUGAGUUCUCUUGAUAUCUGUUACUUAUAGAAAUAAGUAAAAAUUUUUCCCCAUUCUUCUUCUUGCAGGUUCAGUUGCAGUUCCGUAUUCCAGAUGCGUGUGAAGUAAGGAGUGUUCAAGCCAUUCACAUUGAGGGACACAAUUUUCAAAUUAUCCGCCAUCAUACAUAUCAAGAAACGGAGGAGUCCCCGUCGGAUUCCGGAUCAGAGUCUCUCCCUCCCGCCUCUGCCGCACUAGGCCUUUGUGCGCAUCGCUCGUCUCCAUCGUCUGAGGGUGUCAGAAAUUUUUUUAAGAGUUUCUGCGACUCGGUCUGCAGCGGAGCUCCAGCGCUACGCGUCCAUCUUGGUUAGCAGUUGGCCACGCCCCCCCGACUUUUGAGAUGGUUUUAUUAUAUGCUUGGGUCUGACACUUUGCUCUGCAGUCUAUGUGGAAUUUACUUGCUCAGAUUCAACUGCAAAUGACACAGCCUUGCUGGGAAAUUUGACACUUUUGGUAAAAAAAGUUUACUGUCUCUUAUAGCAGUGAUAGUAAUGCAGGACAAACUGCAGUAGUGUUAUAGCAGGACCCAGAUGGUGUAUUUGGCCAGUUAUACGGCAGCUUAAUAUUCACAGGAUACAGACUGCGCUUGUAUAAUCAGGUGCUUGCAGGGAGUUGUGAGCUUGCAUUAACUUGUGUGCAGACUGAAUACAAAUAGCUUACCAGGGAGUGGAGACUUGAUGGAAAAUGCAGAUUAGAGACAUUUUAUUCCUUUUGACUAUUCUGACUCCAAAUGCUGUGAUAAUGGCUGAGUUUCCCCUGAGACCCCUCUCCCUGGGCCUGUAUGGAGCUGGGCACAACCACUGUG